Molecule: ribosomal RNA, 427 nt
Filed under: uncultured bacterium
Lineage: Bacteria
Description: bacterial SSU rRNA
Rfam family: Bacterial small subunit ribosomal RNA
Source: RNAcentral
UCGAGAAUUUUUCUCAAUGGGGGCAACCCUGAAGGAGCGACGCCGCGUGGAGGAUGAAGGUCUUCGGAUUGUAAACUCCUGUCAUUAGAGAACAAUUGUCGCCGAUUAACUACCGGCGGCUUGAUAGUACCUGAAGAGGAAGAGACGGCUAACUCUGUGCCAGCAGCCGCGGUAAUACAGAGGUCUCAAGCGUUGUUCGGAUUCAUUGGGCGUAAAGGGUGCGUAGGUGGCGAGGCAAGUCAGAUGUGAAAUCCCGGGGCUCAACCCCGGAACUGCAUUUGAAACUGCCUUGCUCGAGUACUGGAGAGGAGACUGGAAUUUACGGUGUAGCAGUGAAAUGCGUAGAUAUCGUAAGGAAGACCAGUGGCGAAGGCGAGUCUCUGGACAGUUACUGACACUGAGGCACGAAGGCCAGGGGAGCAAACGG